GAUGACUAUACAUGAAAUAUUAAUUCAUUCCUGAGAGAUCACAAAACACGUAAUACUUCCGAUGGAACAACUGAAUAUAGAAGCACAAGAAAGUAGCAAAAAAAUCGCAUUCCACGUCGUUUCACGUGUCCGACCUUUUUCAACUAAUUUCAUUUCGAGAAACCACGGUGAAGCUACUAGCUCGACUGAAGUGUGCUAUCAGUCCAUGAUUUUGCCCACCAUAUUCUCUGACUUGCGAUCGAUGAUCCAAAUGGGUCGGGAAACGAAUGUUUAUAUAUUGUUCGAGGACGCAGAUAAGAACGUACACCGAUCAAUUAUUUCCCCGCGGCAUGAUUGAGCGACCAGAGCGACAAAAAUGUUUACGACUCACGAUUAGAUGCGACCGACGUUGUCAUUGAUAUCGUUGUGGUCCGAGGAACAUUAUUAUGAAGCCGCCAUCAUCAAAUAGGAAUCGUCGAAUCCCGUGAAAGAAGUGAAGAUUGGAAGAAAUUUGUAACAAAAGCUGGGCAAUGAAAGAAAUAGCGAUUUGAAAUUGAUGACAACCUUCCAUAUCUUGAAAUUUUCUCUGUGAUCGAGCAAUAAUCUGCACAAAAGAAUUACACAAAAUGUUAAAGUAAUGUAUAAAAGUAAUAAAUUAUAUAAAAAUAAAACGACAAUCUACGUUAAAUACGCACAAACGUGACUACCAAACGUCGUUUCGCGACGUCCAACCACAUCAGUCAGCGAUAUUAAACUGGCACCUCACUCCACGGUUUGUCUAGCGAAUAAUGGUGACGAGGAAUGAAAAUAGCAGAGGCUGCUCUUCGGUAAGUCGAGCGGUACGAAUUCAAGUCGUCAGAUUCCUGGAAAAAAUAUGUUUUUCUUAGCGCCCUUAUUAUGUUUCAAACAAAGAAACAUUACGAUAGGCUGAAGGCGUAAAAAGUAAACACGCAUCGAAAUAAAAUGAUGCUACUGGCCAGAAAAUUUUAAUAAACAGAGAGAGAGAGAGAGAGGGAAAAGAAGAGGUUAUGAAAAGAGAAAAAGAAAACUAAAUGAAGUAAUUUUCAGAAUCAAUCAAUGAUCUGUAUAGAAGAAACCACCAAGUAUAUUAAUAUAAAGCAAAAUCCUUUAAUCGCACUCAGAAUAACUAUCAAAUUUUAGAUAUAAAAGGACCAACUUGUUACUUAAGUGCCUAAAAAAUAUUUAGAACUAUAGUAGAAAAAAUUCAACAGUUGCUGUAAUUACAUGGUUCAAGAUCGUAACGUAACAAAAAAUACCUAAAUAGCCAGAGGUGGGUGAUAUUUACACUGAAUGUACGGAAGGAAAGUUAUGUUCGACAAAUUUGAUUGAUACUUAAAAAUCUGUAAUACACGCCUUUACAAUGUAUCUUGAGUUGUUCCACUUGAACCAUAAUAUUCAUCUGAGAUACUUAUUGUGUAUCACCUCCAGCCUGCAUCGCUCUUUCCGAUCCCAUAUCUCUGCUCUAUACAGCAUGAUGCUUUUAAUUGGAGGUCAAAUAACUUAAUCCUUUUGUUGAAGUCGCCUCUGAAUUUUCUUUGUUCAAUUUCUAGACCUGUCCCAUUGAGUGCGACAAAGACAGACUGUACGUGCGUUAAUCAAAAGAGGCGAUAGUGUCCGACAAGGAUGAGCUACACUGGUGGUGAUAGAAAAGGAAGACGAUAAUGUGCAACAAGGAUGUAUAAGGGCAUAAGCGUAUUGAAAUGCUCCUAGACGUAUCGAGACGCACGUAGAUACGUGGCGACGCGUAGAAACGCGCGCAAACAGCUGAAGAUGCGUGGAAACGUGCCUGUACCUCGUGUGUGCCACUAGUAUACUGAAUCGAUUGCGAUGUAUACGAUACGACAAUGAUGUACUUCAAAUUGUAUGGCACAAAAAAUUAUUGCAUGUUAUUCUGUACCUCGUCUGUGAUUCUGUAUAAAGAUAUGUCUAUUAUCAUUGGCUACGGUCAUAUAUGAUUUAUAUGACCGUGAUUGCUAACCAAGGACAGAACGUCUUGAAUAGGUCCAACCUAUACCUAGUUUUUGGCGUUAUAAUAUAAUCGUGAAUCCCAGGAUCGACCAUUGAAACCGGUUUUCAGGUGGACGCUUUCCCCACUGAAUUAACGGUAG
Bombus terrestris (buff-tailed bumblebee) is the source of this 2108-nucleotide long non-coding RNA. RefSeq lists it as uncharacterized. The transcript has 6 exons. NCBI's taxonomy places the organism in Eukaryota, Metazoa, Arthropoda, Insecta, Hymenoptera, Apidae. The record is from RefSeq and is a predicted model, not a curated record.